GAUGAACGCUGGCGGCAGGCUUAACACAUGCAAGUCGAGCGCCCCGCAAGGGGAGCGGCAGACGGGUGAGUAACGCGUGGGAAUCUACCGAGCCCUAAGGAAUAGCUCCGGGAAACUGGAAUUAAUACCUUAUACGCCCUUUUGGGGAAAGAUUUAUCGGGGUUUGAUGAGCCCGCGUUGGAUUAGCUAGUUGGUGGGGUAAAGGCCUACCAAGGCGACGAUCCAUGGCUGGUCUGAGAGGAUGAUCAGCCACAUUGGGACUGAGACACGGCCCAAACUCCUACGGGAGGCAGCAGUGGGGAAUAUUGGACAAUGGGCGCAAGCCUGAUCCAGCCAUGCCGCGUGAGUGAUGAAGGCCCUAGGGUUGUAAAGCUCUUUCACCGGUGAAGAUAAUGACGGUAACCGGAGAAGAAGCCCCGGCUAACUUCGUGCCAGCCGCCGCCGUAA
This 447-nucleotide ribosomal RNA is filed under the name uncultured bacterium. RNAcentral's name for it is "partial 16S ribosomal RNA". It matches the Rfam family "Bacterial small subunit ribosomal RNA", at positions 28 to 523 of the family's 1533-position model. The record is from RNAcentral.